Anaeramoeba ignava is the source of this 111-nucleotide non-coding RNA. The record is from the annotation of a GenBank genome assembly. Lineage: Eukaryota; Anaeramoebidae.
CUCGGAAUAGCUCAGUUGGUAGAGCAUUUGACUGUAGAUUGUAAUUUUAAAUAAUUUAUUUAAAAAUAAAGAGAUAUCAAGGGGUCGCAGGUUCGAAUCCUGCUUCCGAGA